GGUUAAGCGACUAAGCGUACACGGUGGAUGCCCUGGCAGUCAGAGGCGAUGAAGGACGUGCUAAUCUGCGAUAAGCGUCGGUAAGGUGAUAUGAACCGUUAUAACCGGCGAUUUCCGAAUGGGGAAACCCAGUGUGAUUCGUCACACUAUCAUUAACUGAAUCCAUAGGUUAAUGAGGCGAACCGGGGGAACUGAAACAUCUAAGUACCCCGAGGAAAAGAAAUCAACCGAGAUUCCCCCAGUAGCGGCGAGCGAACGGGGAGCAGCCCAGAGCCUGAAUCAGUGUGUGUGUUAGUGGAAGCGUCUGGAAAGGCGCGCGAUACAGGGUGACAGCCCCGUACACAAAAAUGCACAUGCUGUGAGCUCGAUGAGUAGGGCGGGACACGUGGUAUCCUGUCUGAAUAUGGGGGGACCAUCCUCCAAGGCUAAAUACUCCUGACUGACCGAUAGUGAACCAGUACCGUGAGGGAAAGGCGAAAAGAACCCCGGCGAGGGGAGUGAAAAAGAACCUGAAACCGUGUACGUACAAGCAGUGGGAGCACAGAGCAAUCUGUGUGACUGCGUACCUUUUGUAUAAUGGGUCAGCGACUUAUAUUCUGUAGCAAGGUUAACCGAAUAGGGGAGCCGAAGGGAAACCGAGUCUUAACUGGGCGUUAAGUUGCAGGGUAUAGACCCGAAACCCGGUGAUCUAGCCAUGGGCAGGUUGAAGGUUGGGUAACACUAACUGGAGGACCGAACCGACUAAUGUUGAAAAAUUAGCGGAUGACUUGUGGCUGGGGGUGAAAGGCCAAUCAAACCGGGAGAUAGCUGGUUCUCCCCGAAAGCUAUUUAGGUAGCGCCUCGUGAAUUCAUCUCCGGGGGUAGAGCACUGUUUCGGCAAGGGGGUCAUCCCGACUUACCAACCCGAUGCAAACUGCGAAUACCGGAGAAUGUUAUCACGGGAGACACACGGCGGGUGCUAACGUCCGUCGUGAAGAGGGAAACAACCCAGACCGCCAGCUAAGGUCCCAAAGUCAUGGUUAAGUGGGAAACGAUGUGGGAAGGCCCAGACAGCCAGGAUGUUGGCUUAGAAGCAGCCAUCAUUUAAAGAAAGCGUAAUAGCUCACUGGUCGAGUCGGCCUGCGCGGAAGAUGUAACGGGGCUAAACCAUGCACCGAAGCUGCGGCAGCGACGCUUAUGCGUUGUUGGGUAGGGGAGCGUUCUGUAAGCCUGCGAAGGUGUGCUGUGAGGCAUGCUGGAGGUAUCAGAAGUGCGAAUGCUGACAUAAGUAACGAUAAAGCGGGUGAAAAGCCCGCUCGCCGGAAGACCAAGGGUUCCUGUCCAACGUUAAUCGGGGCAGGGUGAGUCGACCCCUAAGGCGAGGCCGAAAGGCGUAGUCGAUGGGAAACAGGUUAAUAUUCCUGUACUUGGUGUUACUGCGAAGGGGGGACGGAGAAGGCUAUGUUGGCCGGGCGACGGUUGUCCCGGUUUAAGCGUGUAGGCUGGUUUUCCAGGCAAAUCCGGAAAAUCAAGGCUGAGGCGUGAUGACGAGGCACUACGGUGCUGAAGCAACAAAUGCCCUGCUUCCAGGAAAAGCCUCUAAGCAUCAGGUAACAUCAAAUCGUACCCCAAACCGACACAGGUGGUCAGGUAGAGAAUACCAAGGCGCUUGAGAGAACUCGGGUGAAGGAACUAGGCAAAAUGGUGCCGUAACUUCGGGAGAAGGCACGCUGAUAUGUAGGUGAAGUCCCUCGCGGAUGGAGCUGAAAUCAGUCGAAGAUACCAGCUGGCUGCAACUGUUUAUUAAAAACACAGCACUGUGCAAACACGAAAGUGGACGUAUACGGUGUGACGCCUGCCCGGUGCCGGAAGGUUAAUUGAUGGGGUUAGCGCAAGCGAAGCUCUUGAUCGAAGCCCCGGUAAACGGCGGCCGUAACUAUAACGGUCCUAAGGUAGCGAAAUUCCUUGUCGGGUAAGUUCCGACCUGCACGAAUGGCGUAAUGAUGGCCAGGCUGUCUCCACCCGAGACUCAGUGAAAUUGAACUCGCUGUGAAGAUGCAGUGUACCCGCGGCAAGACGGAAAGACCCCGUGAACCUUUACUAUAGCUUGACACUGAACAUUGAGCCUUGAUGUGUAGGAUAGGUGGGAGGCUUUGAAGUGUGGACGCCAGUCUGCAUGGAGCCGACCUUGAAAUACCACCCUUUAAUGUUUGAUGUUCUAACGUUGACCCGUGAUCCGGGUUGCGGACAGUGUCUGGUGGGUAGUUUGACUGGGGCGGUCUCCUCCUAAAGAGUAACGGAGGAGCACGAAGGUUGGCUAAUCCUGGUCGGACAUCAGGAGGUUAGUGCAAUGGCAUAAGCCAGCUUGACUGCGAGCGUGACGGCGCGAGCAGGUGCGAAAGCAGGUCAUAGUGAUCCGGUGGUUCUGAAUGGAAGGGCCAUCGCUCAACGGAUAAAAGGUACUCCGGGGAUAACAGGCUGAUACCGCCCAAGAGUUCAUAUCGACGGCGGUGUUUGGCACCUCGAUGUCGGCUCAUCACAUCCUGGGGCUGAAGUAGGUCCCAAGGGUAUGGCUGUUCGCCAUUUAAAGUGGUACGCGAGCUGGGUUUAGAACGUCGUGAGACAGUUCGGUCCCUAUCUGCCGUGGGCGCUGGAGAACUGAGGGGGGCUGCUCCUAGUACGAGAGGACCGGAGUGGACGCAUCACUGGUGUUCGGGUUGUCAUGCCAAUGGCACUGCCCGGUAGCUAAAUGCGGAAGAGAUAAGUGCUGAAAGCAUCUAAGCACGAAACUUGCCCCGAGAUGAGUUCUCCCUGACUCCUUGAGAGUCCUGAAGGAACGUUGAAGACGACGACGUUGAUAGGCCGGGUGUGUAAGCGCAGCGAUGCGUUGAGCUAACCGGUACUAAUGAACCGUGAGGCUUAACCUU
This 2906-nucleotide ribosomal RNA is filed under the name Escherichia coli. RNAcentral describes it as "23S ribosomal RNA". It matches the Rfam family "Bacterial large subunit ribosomal RNA". The record is from RNAcentral. Lineage: Bacteria; Pseudomonadati; Pseudomonadota; Gammaproteobacteria; Enterobacterales; Enterobacteriaceae.